UCCGGUUUGGCACCGGCAGUCUCCCAUGAGUCCCCGACAUUACUCGCUGGCAACAUGGAACAGGGGUCGCGCUCGUUGCGCCACUUAAGGCAACAUCUCACGGCACGAGCUGACGACAGCCAUGCAGCACCUCGACUCCACCCCCUUGCGGGGUAGCGCUAUUUCUAACGCCGUUGAGAAGCCGUUCGAGCCCAGGUAAGGUUCUUCGCGUUGCGUCGAAUUGAACCACAUGCUCCACCGCUUGUGCGGGCCCCCGUCAAUUCCUUUGAGUUUCAGUCUUGCGACCGUACUCCCCAGGCGGAGUGCUUAAUGUGUUGACUUCGGCACAGCAGGGGUCGAUACCCGCUACACCAAGCACUCAUCGUUUACGGCGUGGACUAC
Molecule: unclassified non-coding RNA, 381 nt
Filed under: uncultured Acidobacteriota bacterium
Lineage: Bacteria; Pseudomonadati; Acidobacteriota
Description: uncultured Acidobacteria bacterium contains 16S-23S intergenic spacer region
Source: RNAcentral